UACGAAGGAUGCGAGCGUUAUCCGGAUUUAUUGGGUUUAAAGGGUGCGUAGGUGGCUUUUUAAGUCAGUGGUGAAAGUUUGUCGCUCAACGAUAAAUUGCCAUUGAAACUGGGAAGCUUGAGUAUGUUUGAGGUAGGCGGAAUGCGUAGUGUAGCGGUGAAAUGCAUAGAUAUUACGCAGAACUCCAACUGCGAAGGCAGCUUACUAAACCAUAACUGACACUGAAGCACGAAAGCGUGGGUAUCAAACAGG
Molecule: ribosomal RNA, 252 nt
Filed under: uncultured bacterium
Lineage: Bacteria
Description: partial 16S ribosomal RNA
Rfam family: Bacterial small subunit ribosomal RNA
Source: RNAcentral